UCGACUUUCUUGAAGAUCCUCGUACUGGUGGCGCCAUCCCGUCGCGGAGUGUGGAGCCUUCUUCUGUCGUCGAG
This 74-nucleotide microRNA precursor is filed under the name Bombyx mori (domestic silkworm). RNAcentral describes it as "microRNA bmo-mir-2842 precursor". Lineage: Eukaryota; Metazoa; Arthropoda; Insecta; Lepidoptera; Bombycidae. The record is from miRBase by way of RNAcentral.